GAUGAACGCUGGCGGCGUGCCUAAUACAUGCAAGUCGAGCGAACGGACGAGAAGCUUGCUUCUCUGAUGUUAGCGGCGGACGGGUGAGAACACGUGGAUAACCUACCUAUAAGACUGGGAUAACUUCGGGAAACCGGAGCUAAUACCGGAUAAUAUUUUGAACCGCAUGGUUCAAAAGUGAAAGGCGGUCUUGCUGUCACUUAUAGAUGGAUCCGCGCUGCAUUAGCUAGUUGGUAAGGUAACGGCUUACCAAGGCAACGAUGCAUAGCCGACCUGAGAGGGUGAUCGGCCACACUGGAACUGAGACACGGUCCAGACUCCUACGGGAGGCAGCAGUAGGGAAUCUUCCGCAAUGGGCGAAAGCCUGACGGAGCAACGCCGCGUGAGUGAUGAAGGUCUUCGGAUCGUAAAACUCUGUUAUUAGGGAAGAACAUAUGUGUAAGUAACUGUGCACAUCUUGACGGUACCUAAUCAGAAAGCCACGGCUAACUACGUG
Molecule: ribosomal RNA, 496 nt
Filed under: uncultured bacterium
Lineage: Bacteria
Description: partial 16S ribosomal RNA
Rfam family: Bacterial small subunit ribosomal RNA
Source: RNAcentral